Molecule: ribosomal RNA, 422 nt
Filed under: uncultured bacterium
Lineage: Bacteria
Description: bacterial SSU rRNA
Rfam family: Bacterial small subunit ribosomal RNA
Source: RNAcentral
AUCUUCCGCAAUGGACGAAAGUCUGACGGAGCAACGCCGCGUGAGUGAGGAAGGCCUUCGGGUCGUAAAGCUCUGUUGCCAGGGAAGAACGGGUAGGAGAGUCACUGCUCUUGCCAUGACGGUACCUGAGAAGAAAGCCCCGGCUAACUACGUGCCAGCAGCCGCGAUAAUACGUAGGGGGCAAGCGUUGUCCGGAAUUAUUGGGCGUAAAGAGCGCGCAGGCGGCUUUGUAAGUCUUGUGUUUAAACGUGGGGCUCAACCCCAUGUCGCAUGGGAAACUGCAAGGCUUGAGUGCAGAAGAGGAAAGUGGAAUUCCACGUGUAGCGGUGAAAUGCGUAGAGAUGUGGAGGAACACCAGUGGCGAAGGCGACUUUCUGGGCUGUAACUGACGCUGAGGCGCGAAAGCGUGGGGAGCAAACAGG